UAGAAAAUAAAGGAGAAGAUAGAAACUCUCCCAAAGCUCAAAAGUUUCCUUCCUCUUGAACUUCCACAGUUCUGAACGAGAAACUCUGAAUGAGGAAGGCUGGUAUUUAUAGUGAGAGUUUCUACCUGAGUUUAGGCUAAAAUUGCGGGCAUUACCUAAAAUAAUAACAGGAAAAUACGCUUGUGCCCUGCAUUUUCAGAUGCACG
RNAcentral lists this long non-coding RNA (206 nucleotides) under Medicago truncatula (barrel medic). RNAcentral's name for it is "long non-coding RNA (MTRU_LNC007424)". The record is from RNAcentral. Lineage: Eukaryota; Viridiplantae; Streptophyta; Magnoliopsida; Fabales; Fabaceae.